GGUGUGGGAGGCGGUUAUGGUAUUGCGCUGGUAUGUUGAUUCUGUGUUCAUACCCGUAAUUGCCAUGACUGUUUCCCGCUCC
This 82-nucleotide microRNA precursor is filed under the name Ascaris suum (pig roundworm). RNAcentral describes it as "microRNA asu-mir-5358a precursor". Lineage: Eukaryota; Metazoa; Nematoda; Chromadorea; Rhabditida; Ascarididae. The record is from miRBase by way of RNAcentral.